RNAcentral lists this non-coding RNA (83 nucleotides) under Acidobacteriota bacterium. RNAcentral's name for it is "Acidobacteria bacterium ZTP sequence". It matches the Rfam family "ZMP/ZTP riboswitch aptamer (pfl RNA motif)". Rfam says of the family: Previously known as pfl RNA. ZMP is also known as AICAR. The record is from RNAcentral. Lineage: Bacteria; Pseudomonadati; Acidobacteriota.
CGGGUCUUGCACGACUGGCGCUGCGUGGAAUCGACCACGGGGGAGUGCUGAACGCCAGUGGGCCGUCCGCCUGGGCCUCUGAC